UACGUAGGGGGCUAGCGUUGUCCGGAAUUAUUGGGCGUAAAGAGCGUGUAGGCGGUUCGAUAAGUCUGCUGUAAAAGUCGGGGGCUCAACCCUCGAAGGCCGGUGGAUACUGUCGAGCUAGAGUACGGAAGAGGCGAGUGGAACUCCUGGUGUAGCGGUGAAAUGCGCAGAUAUCAGGAGGAACACCAAUUGCGAAGGCAGCUCGCUGGGACGUAACUGACGCUGAGACGCGAAAGCGUGGGGAGCAAACAGG
RNAcentral lists this ribosomal RNA (253 nucleotides) under uncultured bacterium. Its description in RNAcentral is "partial 16S ribosomal RNA". It matches the Rfam family "Bacterial small subunit ribosomal RNA", at positions 524 to 776 of the family's 1533-position model. The record is from RNAcentral.